RNAcentral lists this transfer RNA (72 nucleotides) under Plutella xylostella (diamondback moth). RNAcentral's name for it is "tRNA-Glu". It matches the Rfam family "tRNA". From Rfam's summary of the family: Transfer RNA (tRNA) molecules are approximately 80 nucleotides in length. The record is from RNAcentral. Lineage: Eukaryota; Metazoa; Arthropoda; Insecta; Lepidoptera; Plutellidae.
GCGGUGGUAGCUCAGUCGGGUAAGCGCUCGCCUCUCACGCCAGAUGUGCGGGUUAGAUUCCCGUCCCUGACA